CUGUGAUGGGGAGAAGACAUUGUGUCUUCGAGUCGUUGAUUUCACACUGCCGAGAAAAGCCUCUAGAUAGAAAAUAGGUGCCCGUACCGCAAACCGACACAGGUAGUCAAGAUGAGAAUUCUAAGGUGAGCGAGCGAACUCUCGUUAAGGAACUCGGCAAAAUGACCCCGUAACUUCGGGAGAAGGGGUGCUCUUUAGGGUUAACGCCCAGAAGAGCCGCAGUGAAUAGGCCCAAGCGACUGUUUAUCAAAAACACAGGUCUCUGCUAAACCGUAAGGUGAUGUAUAGGGGCUGACGCCUGCCCGGUGCUGGAAGGUUAAGAGGAGUGGUUAGCUUCUGCGAAGCUACGAAUCGAAGCCCCAGUAAACGGCGGCCGUAACUAUAACGGUCCUAAGGUAGCGAAAUUCCUUGUCGGGUAAGUUCCGACCCGCACGAAAGGCGUAACGAUUUGGGCACUGUCUCAACGAGAGACUCGGUGAAAUCAUAGUACCUGUGAAGAUGCAGGUUACCCGCGACAGGACGGAAAGACCCCGUGGAGCUUUACUGUAGCCUGAUAUUGAAAUUCGGCACAGCUUGUACAGGAUAGGUAGGAGCCUUUGAAACGUGAGCGCUAGCUUACGUGGAGGCGCUGGUGGGAUACUACCCUAGCUGUGUUGGCUUUCUAACCCGCACCACUUAUCGUGGUGGGAGACAGUGUCAGGCGGGCAGUUUGACUGGGGCGGUCGCCUCCUAAAAGGUAACGGAGGCGCUCAAAGGUUCCCUCAGAAUGGUUGGAAAUCAUUCAUAGAGUGUAAAGGCAUAAGGGAGCUUGACUGCGAGACCUACAAGUCGAGCAGGGUCGAAAGACGGACUUAGUGAUCCGGUGGUUCCGCAUGGAAGGGCCAUCGCUCAACGGAUAAAAGCUACCCCGGGGAUAACAGGCUUAUCUCCCCCAAGAGUUCACAUCGACGGGGAGGUUUGGCACCUCGAUGUCGGCUCAUCGCAUCCUGGGGCUGUAGUCGGUCCCAAGGGUUGGGCUGUUCGCCCAUUAAAGCGGUACGCGAGCUGGGUUCAGAACGUCGUGAGACAGUUCGGUCCCUAUCCGUCGUGGGCGUAGGAAAUUUGAGAGGAGCUGUCCUUAGUACGAGAGGACCGGGAUGGACAUACCUCUGGUGUACCAGUUGUCGUGCCAACGGCAUAGCUGGGUAGCUAUGUGUGGACGGGAUAAGUGCUGAAAGCAUCUAAGCAUGAAGCCCCCCUCAAGAUGAGAUUUCCCAACUUCGGUUAUAAGAUCCCUCAAAGAUGAUGAGGUUAAUAGGUUCGAGGUGGAAG
Molecule: ribosomal RNA, 1311 nt
Filed under: Staphylococcus aureus
Lineage: Bacteria; Bacillati; Bacillota; Bacilli; Caryophanales; Staphylococcaceae
Description: partial 23S ribosomal RNA
Rfam family: Bacterial large subunit ribosomal RNA
Source: RNAcentral